This 442-nucleotide ribosomal RNA is filed under the name uncultured bacterium. Its description in RNAcentral is "partial 16S ribosomal RNA". It matches the Rfam family "Bacterial small subunit ribosomal RNA", at positions 338 to 795 of the family's 1533-position model. The record is from RNAcentral.
CCUACGGGAGGCAGCAGUAGGGAAUCUUUCACAAUGGGCGAAAGCCUGAUGGAGCAACGCCGCGUGCAGGAUGAAGGCCUUCGGGUUGUAAACUGCUUUUAUAAGCGAGAAAUAUGAUGGUAACUUAUGAAUAAGGAUCGGCUAACUACGUGCCAGCAGCCGCGGUCAUACGUAGGAUCCGAGCAUUAUCCGGAGUGACUGGGUGUAAAGAGUUGCGUAGGUGGCAUAAUAAGUAGCUAGUGAAAUCUGGUGGCUCAACCAUUCAGACUAUUAGCUAAACUGUUAAGCUCGAGACCGUUAGGGGUAACUGGAAUGUCUAGUGUAGGAGUGAAAUCCGUAGAUAUUAGCAGGAACACCAAUAGCGUAGGCAGGUUGCUGGGACGGUUCUGACACUAAGGCACGAAAGCGUAGGGAGCAAACGGGAUUAGAUACCCGGGUAGUC